RNAcentral lists this ribosomal RNA (600 nucleotides) under uncultured bacterium. Its description in RNAcentral is "bacterial SSU rRNA". It matches the Rfam family "Bacterial small subunit ribosomal RNA", at positions 736 to 1341 of the family's 1533-position model. The record is from RNAcentral.
UCAACUGACGCUAAUGCUCGAAAGUGCGGGUAUCGAACAGGAUUAGAUACCCUGGUAGUCCGCACGGUAAACGAUGGAUGCCCGCUGUUGGCGAUAUAGUGUCAGCGGCCAAGCGAAAGCGUUAAGCAUCCCACCUGGGGAGUACGCCGGCAACGGUGAAACUCAAAGGAAUUGACGGGGGCCCGCACAAGCGGAGGAACAUGUGGUUUAAUUCGAUGAUACGCGAGGAACCUUACCCGGGCUUGAACUGCAGGAGAACGAUUCAGAGAUGAUGAGGUCCUUCGGGACUCCUGUGGAGGUGCUGCAUGGUUGUCGUCAGCUCGUGCCGUGAGGUGUCGGCUUAAGUGCCAUAACGAGCGCAACCCCUUCCGUCAGUUGCCAUCACUUUGGGUGGGCACUCUGGCGGUACUGCCACCGUAAGGUGUGAGGAAGGUGGGGAUGACGUCAAAUCAGCACGGCCUUUACGUCCGGGGCUACACACGUGUUACAAUGGGUGGUACAGAGAGUCGGCCGCAUGCAAAUUCGGUCUAAUCAUGAAAGCCAUCCUCAGUUCGGAUUGGGGUCUGCAACCCGACCCCAUGAAGCUGGAUUCGCUAGUAA